GCCGUAGCUCAGUGGUAGAACACCUGCUUUGCAUGCAGAAGGUCCCAGGUUCAGUCCCCUGUUGCAUCUCCA
Non-coding RNA from Podarcis lilfordi (Lilford's wall lizard), 72 nucleotides. NCBI's taxonomy places the organism in Eukaryota, Metazoa, Chordata, Lepidosauria, Squamata, Lacertidae. The record is from the annotation of a GenBank genome assembly.